CUUAAACAAUGUCUACACUGUAUUUCUGAUCAAUUUGAUGUUAUUUUAAUGGACAAAAUGUUUUUCCUUUUCUUUCAAAAACAAGGACAUUUCUAAGUGUCCCCAAACUGUUGAACAGUAGUGUAACUAAACCAAAAUGGAACAUGCAGAAAAUACAUUUCUGAAGCAACAAAAUGAUACCUUGUUCACCCCCCCUCAAUAACCCAUAACGAAAAAGCCAAAACUGGUUUAGACAUUAAUUUAUUCAAAAUAAAAAACAGAAAUAACACAAUUACAUUAAGUAUUCAGACCCUUUUCUCAGUACUUUAUUGAAGCACCUUUGGCAGUGAUUACAGCCUCGAGUCUUCUUGGGUAUGACGCUACAAGCUUGGCACAUCUGUAUUUGGGGAGUUUCUCCCAUUCUUCGCUGCAGGUCCUUUCAAGCUCUGUCAGGUUGGAUGGGGAGUGUCGCUGCACAGCUAUUUUCAGGUCUCUCCAGAGAUGUUAGAUCGGAUUCAAGUCCGGGCUCUGACUGGGCCACUCAAGGACAUUCAGAGACUUGUCCGAAGGCCACUCCUGUGUUGUCUUGGUUGUGUGCUUAGGGUCGUUGUCCUGUUGGAAGGUGAACCUUCACCCCAGUCUGCGGUUCUGAGCGCUCUGGAACAGCUAGUACAGCCCCUAGUACCUUAGGUAGUACAGUAUAGCCUCAGCUAGUCCAGCCCCUAGUCCAGCAGGUAGUACAGUAUAGCCUCAGCUAGUCCAGCAGGUAGUCCAGUAUAGCCUCAGCUAGUCCAGCUCCUAGUCCAGCAGGUAGUCCAGUAUAGCCUCAGCUAGUCCAGCUCCUAGUCCAGCAGGUAGUACAGUAUAGCCUCAGCUAGUCCAGCAGGUAGUCCAGUAUAGCCUCAGCUAGUCCAGCAGGUAGUCCAGCAGGUAGUACAGUAUAGCCUCAGCUAGUCCAGCAGGUAGUACAGUAUAGCCUCAGCUAGUCCAGCUCCUAGUCCAGCAGGUAGUCCAGUAUAGCCUCAGCUAGUCCAGCUCCUAGUCCAGCAGGUAGUACAGUAUAGCCUCAGCUAGUCCAGCAGGUAGUACUGUAUAGCCUCAGCUAGUCAGCCCCUAGUCCAGUAUAGCCUCAGCUAGUCAGCCCCUAGUCCAGCAGGUAGUUGGUUUUGAGAGAGAGCCUUGACAGAAUGAUAACCACGCCACAGAACUGUAUACAUUUAUCAAUGAUACAUGUUCCAACUCGGGUCCCUUGACACAGAGGCAAGUACGCUAACCCCAAGAUAGACAACUCUAGAGCUUCUCCCUAACCCUUAACCCUAACCGCUUAACCCUAACCCCAAGAUAGACAACUCUAGAGCUUCUCCCUAACCCUUAACCCUAACCCCAAGAUAGACAACUCUAGAGCUAACCCUAAACCUUAACCCUAACCCCAAGAUAGACAACUCUAGAGCUUCUCCCUAACCCUAACCCUUAACCCUAACCCUUAACCCUAACCCCAAGAUAGACAACUCUAGAGCUACUCCCUAACCCUUAACCCCUAACCCCUAACCCUUAACCCUAACCCCAAGAUAGACAACUCUAGAGCUAACCCUAACCCUUAACCCUAACCCCUAACCCUAACCCCUAACCCCAAGAUAGACAACUCUAGAGCUAACCCUAACCCUUAACCCCCCUAACCCCUAACCCUAACCCCUAACCCCAAGAUAGACAACUCUAGAGCUUCUGAAAGGUUGUUCUAGUGUGGAUAUGAAUGGAGGCUAUGGUCAUAACAGAGAACAGAAAAACAUGGAUGUCUGAGAGUAGUUGUUCUGCUGGUCAGGGAAGGCAAUAGAUUGUAUAGUUAUCUUCUGAUCAGGGUAAAAUCACUACCCCACAACAAUACAAUCUACUACCUCACAACGCCUCAGCAGAUAGACAAUGACUUCAUAAUGUUGACGAUGUACCUUGAUGAUUUCUUCCUGUUCGUUCUCAAAACACCACAGCAAAUACGAUCAGAAUAGAAUCUUUUACAAUGACCAUAAGAGGAGAUUGACUGUAGUAUCCUUGGUGAUUGACACAUUGAGAAAGACAGUAGGUUGUACAGUUAUCUCCCAGUGUGGGUGUGACCCUAAAACUAUCCAACCUACUACCUCAUCCCACUGAGCUGAGGAACCUGGAGAGGAACCUGGAGAGGAACCUGGAGAGGAACCUGGAGAGGAACCUGGUCUGAUCCACCUCACAGCAUCUGUUGAGAGAGAGACUGGAUAGUAAUACUGCCACUUUUAGGAUCAAUUCCAUCAUAUCAAACAAACAAAAAAUUUUUUUUUUUUUUAAUUCCUCAAUC
RNAcentral lists this long non-coding RNA (2302 nucleotides) under Salmo salar (Atlantic salmon). RNAcentral's name for it is "lncRNA (ENSSSAG00000116651.1)". Lineage: Eukaryota; Metazoa; Chordata; Actinopteri; Salmoniformes; Salmonidae. The record is from RNAcentral.